Molecule: ribosomal RNA, 253 nt
Filed under: uncultured bacterium
Lineage: Bacteria
Description: partial 16S ribosomal RNA
Rfam family: Bacterial small subunit ribosomal RNA
Source: RNAcentral
UACGUAGGGGGCUAGCGUUGUCCGGAAUCAUUGGGCGUAAAGAGCGUGUAGGCGGCCCGGUAAGUCCGCUGUAAAAGUCAAAGGCUCAACCUUUGAAUGUCAGUGGAUACUGCCGGGCUAGAGUCCGGAAGAGGCGAGUGGAACUCCUGGUGUAGCGGUGAAAUGCGCAGAUAUCAGGAGGAACACCAAUGGCGAAGGCAGCUCGCUGGGACGGUACUGACGCUGAGACGCGAAAGCGUGGGGAGCGAACAGG